Molecule: ribosomal RNA, 567 nt
Filed under: uncultured bacterium
Lineage: Bacteria
Description: partial 16S ribosomal RNA
Rfam family: Bacterial small subunit ribosomal RNA
Source: RNAcentral
UGGGGAAUUUUGGACAAUGGGCGAAAGCCUGAUCCAGCAAUGCCGCGUGUGUGAAGAAGGCCUUCGGGUUGUAAAGCACUUUUGUCCGGAAAGAAAUCCUUGGCUCUAAUACAGUCGGGGGAUGACGGUACCGGAAGAAUAAGCACCGGCUAACUACGUGCCAGCAGCCGCGGUAAUACGUAGGGUGCAAGCGUUAAUCGGAAUUACUGGGCGUAAAGCGUGCGCAGGCGGUUUGCUAAGACCGAUGUGAAAUCCCCGGGCGUCAACCUGGGAACUGCAUUGGUGACUGGCAGGCUAGAGUAUGGCAGAGGGGGGUAGAAUUCCACGUGUAGCAGUGAAAUGCGUAGAGAUGUGGAGGAAUACCGAUGGCGAAGGCAGCCCCCUGGGCCAAUACUGACGCUCAUGCACGAAAGCGUGGGGAGCAAACAGGAUUAGAUACCCUGGUAGUCCACGCCCUAAACGAUGUCAACUAGUUGUUGGGGAUUCAUUUCCUUAGUAACGUAGCUAACGCGUGAAGUUGACCGCCUGGGGAGUACGGUCGCAAGAUUAAAACUCAAAGGAAUUGAC